GGGGGGGGGGGGGGGGGGGGGGGGCGGGGGGGGGGCGGGCGGGGGGGGGGGGGGGGUGGGGGGGGCUCGGGUGGCGGGCGGGUGCGUGACGCGGGAGUGACCUGCCCUUGACUUGGGGAUGCCUUCAGGGGCCUGGGGCUACUCCCGGAUGUGGGCUCCUGCGGCAUGUGGGGGGUUUGAAAGUUGUGGCGGGUGGGGAUGCACUCGCGGCGUAUCAGCUGGUGGGUGGGGUAGUGGCUGACCAAGGCUUUGACGGGUAGCCGGCCUGAGAGGGUGACCGGCCACAUUGGGACUGAGAUACGGCCCAGACUCCUACGGGAGGCAGCAGUGGGGAAUAUUGCACAAUGGGCGGAAGACUGAUGCAGCAACGCCGCGUGCGGGAUGACGGCCUUCGGGUUGUAAACCGCUUUCGCCUGUGACGAAGCGUGAGUGACGGUAAUGGGUAAAGAAGCACCGGCUAACUACGUG
Molecule: ribosomal RNA, 468 nt
Filed under: uncultured bacterium
Lineage: Bacteria
Description: partial 16S ribosomal RNA
Rfam family: Bacterial small subunit ribosomal RNA (bases 56-468)
Source: RNAcentral